GGUGGGUUCAUCUAACGGUUAGGAUACAUGCCUCUCACGCAUGGUAUACGAGUUCGAUUCUCGUACCCACUACUA
This 75-nucleotide transfer RNA is filed under the name Bacteroides uniformis. Its description in RNAcentral is "tRNA-Glu". It matches the Rfam family "tRNA". From Rfam's summary of the family: Transfer RNA (tRNA) molecules are approximately 80 nucleotides in length. Their secondary structure includes four short double-helical elements and three loops (D, anti-codon, and T loops). Lineage: Bacteria; Pseudomonadati; Bacteroidota; Bacteroidia; Bacteroidales; Bacteroidaceae. RNAcentral also lists the same sequence under 2 other names. The record is from RNAcentral.